Molecule: ribosomal RNA, 460 nt
Filed under: uncultured bacterium
Lineage: Bacteria
Description: partial 16S ribosomal RNA
Rfam family: Bacterial small subunit ribosomal RNA
Source: RNAcentral
CCUACGGGAGGCAGCAGUGAGGAAUAUUGGUCAAUGGGCGGGAGCCUGAACCAGCCAAGUCGCGUGAGGGAAGACGGUCCUAUGGAUUGUAAACCUCUUUAGGCGGGGAGCAAUGCCGGGCACGCGUGCCCGGCGGGAGAGUACCCGAAGAAAAAGCCUCGGCUAACUCCGUGCCAGCAGCCGCGGUAAUACGGAGGAUGCGAGCGUUAUCCGGAUUUAUUGGGUUUAAAGGGUGCGCAGGCGGAAGAUCAAGUCAGCGGUAAAAUUGAGAGGCUCAACCUCUUCGAGCCGUUGAAACUGGUUGUCUUGAGUGAGUGAGAAGUAGGCGGAAUGCGUGGUGUAGCGGUGAAAUGCAUAGAUAUCACGCAGAACUCCGAUUGCGAAGGCAGCAUACCGGCGCGCAACUGACGCUCAUGCACGAAAGUGUGGGUAUCGAACAGGAUUAGAUACCCUUGUAGUC